RNAcentral lists this ribosomal RNA (424 nucleotides) under Verrucomicrobiota bacterium. Its description in RNAcentral is "Verrucomicrobia bacterium partial 16S ribosomal RNA". It matches the Rfam family "Bacterial small subunit ribosomal RNA", at positions 355 to 776 of the family's 1533-position model. The record is from RNAcentral. Lineage: Bacteria; Pseudomonadati; Verrucomicrobiota.
UGAGGAAUAUUGGUCAAUGGACGAGAGUCUGAACCAGCCAAGUAGCGUGCAGGAUGACGGCCCUAUGGGUUGUAAACUGCUUUUGUUUGGGAAUAAUCGACAUUACGUGUAAUGUUUUGCAUGUACCAUUCGAAUAAGGACCGGCUAAUUCCGUGCCAGCAGCCGCGGUAAUACGGAAGGUCCAGGCGUUAUCCGGAUUUAUUGGGUAUAAAGGGAGUGUAGGCGGUUGGUUAAGCGUGUUGUGAAAUGUAGAUGCUCAACAUCUGACUUGCAGCGCGAACUGGCUGACUUGAGUACACACAACGUAGGCGGAAUUCAUGGUGUAGCGGUGAAAUGCUUAGAUAUCAUGAAGAACUCCGAUUGCGAAGGCAGCUUACGGGAGUGUUACUGACGCUUAAGCUCGAAGGUGCGGGUAUCGAACAGG